AGAACGAACGCUGGCGGCAGGCCUAAUACAUGCAAGUCGAACGCACUCUUCGGAGUGAGUGGCAGACGGGUGAGUAACGCGUGGGAACCUUCCCAAUGGUACGGAAUAACUCCGGGAAACCGGUGCUAAUACCGUAUAAGCCCCUCGGGGGAAAGAUUUAUCGCCAUUGGAUGGGCCCGCGUCGGAUUAGCUAGUUGGUAAGGUAAUGGCUUACCAAGGCUACGAUCCGUAGCUGGUCUGAGAGGAUGAUCAGCCACACUGGGACUGAGACACGGCCCAGACUCCUACGGGAGGCAGCAGUAGGGAAUCUUGGACAAUGGGCGAAAGCCUGAUCCAGCCAUGCCGCGUGAGUGAAGAAGGCCUUAGGGUUGUAAAGCUCUUUUGGCGGGGACGAUAAUGACGGUACCCGCAGAAUGAGCCCCGGCUAACUUCGUGCCAGCAGCCGC
RNAcentral lists this ribosomal RNA (446 nucleotides) under uncultured bacterium. RNAcentral describes it as "SSU rRNA". It matches the Rfam family "Bacterial small subunit ribosomal RNA", at positions 26 to 518 of the family's 1533-position model. The record is from RNAcentral.